This 423-nucleotide ribosomal RNA is filed under the name Verrucomicrobiota bacterium. Its description in RNAcentral is "Verrucomicrobia bacterium partial 16S ribosomal RNA". It matches the Rfam family "Bacterial small subunit ribosomal RNA", at positions 355 to 776 of the family's 1533-position model. Lineage: Bacteria; Pseudomonadati; Verrucomicrobiota. The record is from RNAcentral.
UGAGGAAUAUUGGUCAAUGGGCGAGAGCCUGAACCAGCCAAGUAGCGUGCAGGAUGACGGCCCUAUGGGUUGUAAACUGCUUUUAUAUGGGAAUAAAGUGAGGGACGUGUCCCUUAUUGCAUGUACCAUAUGAAUAAGGACCGGCUAAUUACGUGCCAGCAGCCGCGGUAAUACGUAAGGUCCGAGCGUUGUCCGGAAUCAUUGGGCGUAAAGGGUACGUAGGCGGGUAAGCAAGUUAGAAGUGAAAUCCUGUAGCUCAACUACAGUAAGCUUUUAAAACUGCUCAUCUUGAGAUAUGGAAGGGAAAGUGGAAUUCCUAGUGUAGCGGUGAAAUGCGCAGAUAUUAGGAGGAAUACCGGUGGCGAAGGCGACUUUCUGGCCAUAAUCUGACGCUGAGGUACGAAAGCGUGGGUAGCAAACAGG